GGAGGGUGCAAGCGUUAUCCGGAUUCACUGGGGUUUAAAGGGGGUGCGUAGGCGGGUAUUUAAGUCAGUGGUGAAAUCCUAGAGCUUAACUCUAGAACUGCCAUUGAUACUAUUUAUCUUGAAUAUUGUGGAGGUAAGCGGAAUAUGUCAUGUAGCGGUGAAAUGCUUAGAUAUGACAUAGAACACCUAUUGCGAAGGCAGCUUACUACGCAUAUAUUGACGCUGAGGCAACGAAAGCGGUGGGGAUACAAACAGGUAUUAGACUACCCUGGUACGUCCACCGACCCUAAACGAGUGGAUACUCGACAUACGCGAUACACUGUGUGUGUCUGAGACGAAGCUAUUAAGUACUCCCACCGUAGGAAGUACGACCGACGUAGGU
Molecule: ribosomal RNA, 382 nt
Filed under: uncultured organism
Description: partial 16S ribosomal RNA
Rfam family: Bacterial small subunit ribosomal RNA
Source: RNAcentral